AAAUUGAAGAGUUUGAUCAUGGCUCAGAUUGAACGCUGGCGGCAGGCCUAACACAUGCAAGUCGAACGGUAACAGGAAGCAGCUUGCUGCUUUGCUGACGAGUGGCGGACGGGGGAGUAAUGUCUGGGAAACUGCCUGAUGGAGGGGGAUAACUACUGGAAACGGUAGCUAAUACCGCAUAACGUCGCAAGACCAAAGAGGGG
This 203-nucleotide ribosomal RNA is filed under the name Escherichia coli. RNAcentral describes it as "partial 16S ribosomal RNA". It matches the Rfam family "Bacterial small subunit ribosomal RNA", at positions 1 to 211 of the family's 1533-position model. Lineage: Bacteria; Pseudomonadati; Pseudomonadota; Gammaproteobacteria; Enterobacterales; Enterobacteriaceae. The record is from RNAcentral.